GCCUUAGUAACGGCGAGUGAAGCGGCAAUAGCUCAAAUUUGAAAUCUGGCUUCCUUGGAAGUCCGAGUUGUAAUUUGCAGAGGGCGCUUUGGCGUCGGUAGCGGUCUAAGUUCCUUGGAACAGGACGUCACAGAGGGUGAGAAUCCCGUACGUGGUCGACUACCUUCGCCGUGUAAAGCCCCUUCGACGAGUCGAGUUGUUUGGGAAUGCAGCUCUAAAUGGGAGGUAAAUUUCUUCUAAAGCUAAAUACUGGCCAGAGACCGAUAGCGCACAAGUAGAGUGAUCGAAAGAUGAAAAGCACUUUGGAAAGAGAGUCAAACAGCACGUGAAAUUGUUGAAAGGGAAGCGCUUGCCGCCAGACGUGCCCGUGGUGGUUCUCCUCCGCGGGCAGGCCAGCAUCAGUUUGGGCGAUCGGAUAAAGGCCUCUGUCAUGUAUCUCCCUUCGGGGUGACCUUAUAGGGGAGGCGCAAUGCGAUCAGCCCGGACUGAGGUCCGCGCAUCUGCUAGGAUGCUGGCGUAAUGGCUGUAAGCGGCCCGUCUUGAAACACGGACCAAGGAGUCUAACAUCUAUGCGAGUGUUUGGGUGUCAAGCCCGAGCGCGUAAUGAAAGUGAACGGAGGUGGGAACCCUUUGGGUGCACCAUCGACCGAUCCUGAAGUCUUCGGAUGGAUUUGAGUAAGAGCAUGGCUGUUGGGACCCGAAAGAUGGUGAACUAUGCUUGAAUAGGGUGAAGCCAGAGGAAACUCUGGUGGAGGCUCGCAGCGGUUCUGACGUGCAAAUCGAUCGUCAAAUUUGGGCAUAGGGGCGAAAGACUAAUCCGAACCAUCCUAGUACCUGGUUCUGCCGAGCUG
Molecule: ribosomal RNA, 851 nt
Filed under: Dictyosporium sp. ST-2018a
Lineage: Eukaryota; Fungi; Ascomycota; Dothideomycetes; Pleosporales; Dictyosporiaceae
Description: partial 28S large subunit ribosomal RNA
Rfam family: Eukaryotic large subunit ribosomal RNA
Source: RNAcentral